Molecule: ribosomal RNA, 448 nt
Filed under: uncultured bacterium
Lineage: Bacteria
Description: bacterial SSU rRNA
Rfam family: Bacterial small subunit ribosomal RNA
Source: RNAcentral
CCGCCAGACUCCUACGGGAGGCAGCAGUCGGGAAUAUUGCGCAAUGGAGGAAACUCUGACGCAGUGACGCCGCAUGCAGGAAGAAGGUUUUCGGAUUGUAAACUGCUUUAGACAGGGAAGAUAAUGACAGUACCUGUAGAAUAAGCUCCGGCUAACUACGUGCCAGCAGCCGCGGUAAUACGUAGGGAGCAAGCGUUAUCCGGAUUUAUUGGGUGUAAAGGGUGCGUAGACGGGAAUGCAAGUUAGUUGUGAAAUCCCUCGGCUUAACUGAGGAACUGCAACUAAAACUACAUUUCUUGAGUGCUGGAGAGGGAAGUGGAAUUCCUAGUGUAGCGGUGAAAUGCGUAGAUAUUAGGAGGAACACCAGUGGCGAAGGCGACUUUCUGGACAGUAACUGACGUUGAGGCACGAAAGUGUGGGGAGCAAACAGGAUUAGAUACCCAGUAGU